AGGGGAGCGUCCUGCACGAGGUGAAGCUGCCACGGGAGUGUGUGGUGGAUUGUGUGGGAGUGAGAAUGCAGGCAUGAGUAGCGAAUCACGGGUGAGAAACCCGUGCGCCGGAUGAUCAAGGGUUCCAGGGUCAAGUUAAUCUGCCCUGGGUGAGUCGGGGCCUAAGGCGAGGCCGACAGGCGUAGUCGAUGGACGACCAGUUGAUAUUCUGGUACCGGUGUAGCACCGUCCGUGUCGAGGUGUGUGAUGCUAAGCGUGCGAGUGUCCUGGUGAUCCCUUCGGGGUGAUCUUGUGGCGUGAGUGUGUGAACCGAUCAUGUAGUAGACAAGCUGCGGAGGGACACAGUGAGGUAGCUCGUCCCCGGCGAUGGUUGUCCGGGGCUAAAUGUGUGGACUGUCUGGUAGGUAAAUCCGUCAGACGUUGAGUUGAGGCAUGAUGGCGAGCCAUGUUUGUGUGGUGAGCGAGUGAUCCUGUGCUGUCGAGAAAAGCUUCGUGAGCGAGGUGUGAGCCGCCCGUACCCUAAACCGACACUGGUGGAUAGGUAGAGUAUACCGAGGCGAUCGAGAGAAUCAUGGUGAAGGAACUCGGCAAAAUGCCCCCGUAACUUUGGAAGAAGGGGGACCUGAGCUGUUGCCGCCACGUGCUGGUGGUUGCGGUGAGGGGCGCAGAGAAUUGGGGGAAGCGACUGUUUACCAAAAACACAGGUCCGUGCGAAGUCGUAAGACGAUGUAUACGGACUGACUCCUGCCCGGUGCUGGAAGGUUAAGGGGAACUGUGA
RNAcentral lists this ribosomal RNA (778 nucleotides) under Chaetoceros curvisetus. RNAcentral's name for it is "partial Bacterial large subunit ribosomal RNA". It matches the Rfam family "Bacterial large subunit ribosomal RNA", at positions 1230 to 1892 of the family's 2925-position model. Lineage: Eukaryota; Bacillariophyta; Thalassiosirophyceae; Chaetocerotales; Chaetocerotaceae. The record is from RNAcentral.